UACGUAGGGGGCAAGCGUUGUCCGGAUUUAUUGGGCGUAAAGAGCGUGUAGGCGGCUUGGUAGGUCCGCUGUGAAAACUCGAGGCUCAACCUCGAGAUGUCGGCGGAAACCACUUGGCUAGAGUCCGGAAAAGGAGAGUGGAAUUCCUGGUGUAGCGGUGAAAUGCGCAGAUAUCAGGAAGAACACCUAUGGCGAAGGCAGCUCUCUGGGACGGUACUGACGCUGAGACGCGAAAGCGUGGGGAGCGAACAGG
This 253-nucleotide ribosomal RNA is filed under the name uncultured bacterium. RNAcentral describes it as "partial 16S ribosomal RNA". It matches the Rfam family "Bacterial small subunit ribosomal RNA", at positions 524 to 776 of the family's 1533-position model. The record is from RNAcentral.